GACGAACGCUGGCGGCGUGCUUAACACAUGCAAGUCGAACGGUAAGGCCCUUUCGGGGGUACACGAGUGGCGAACGGGUGAGUAACACGUGGGUGAUCUGCCCUGCACUUUGGGAUAAGCCUGGGAAACUGGGUCUAAUACCGGAUAGGACUACGCGAUGCAUGUCGUGUGGUGGAAAGCUUUUGCGGUGUGGGAUGGGCCCGCGGCCUAUCAGCUUGUUGGUGGGGUGAUGGCCUACCAAGGCGACGACGGGUAGCCGGCCUGAGAGGGUGUCCGGCCACACUGGGACUGAGAUACGGCCCAGACUCCUACGAGAGGCAGCAGUGGGGAAUAUUGCACAAUGGGCGCAAGCCUGAUGCAGCGACGCCGCGUGGGGGAUGACGGCCUUCGGGUUGUAAACCCCUUUCAGCACAGACGAAGCGUAAGUGACGGUAUGUGCAGAAGAAGCACCGGCCAACUACGUG
RNAcentral lists this ribosomal RNA (464 nucleotides) under uncultured bacterium. Its description in RNAcentral is "partial 16S ribosomal RNA". It matches the Rfam family "Bacterial small subunit ribosomal RNA", at positions 28 to 507 of the family's 1533-position model. The record is from RNAcentral.